RNAcentral lists this ribosomal RNA (253 nucleotides) under uncultured bacterium. RNAcentral describes it as "partial 16S ribosomal RNA". It matches the Rfam family "Bacterial small subunit ribosomal RNA", at positions 524 to 776 of the family's 1533-position model. The record is from RNAcentral.
UACGUAGGGUGCGAGCGUUAAUCGGAAUUACUGGGCGUAAAGGGCGCGUAGGCGGCACAGCAAGUCGGGAGUGAAAGCCCGGGGCUCAACCCCGGAACGUCUUUCGAAACUGCUGAGCUCGAGUGCGGAAGAGGCAACUGGAAUUCCCAGUGUAGCGGUGAAAUGCGUAGAUAUUGGGAAGAACACCUGAGGCGAAGGCGGGUUGCUGGGCCGACACUGACGCUGAGGCGCGAAAGCCAGGGGAGCAAACGGG